GACGAACGCUGGCGGCGUGCCUAAUACAUGCAAGUAGAACGCAGUUGCGAACGGGUGAGUAACGCGUAGGUAACUCCCUCAUAGCGGGGGCUAACUAUUGGAAACGAUAGCUAAUACCGCAUACUGUGCGAUAGACCUUCGUUGUAUUAGGUAGUUGGUGAGGUAAAGGCUCACCAAGGCGAAGGUACUUAGCCGACCUGAGAGGGAGAUCGGCCAAAAUGGGGCGUGGACAAGGCCCAGAAUCCCAAGGGAGGAAGGAGUAGGGAAUCUUCGGCAAUGGAGGGAAGUCUGAACGAGCAACGCCGCGGGAGUGAAGAAAGUUUUCGGAUCGUAAAGGUAUGUUGUUAGAGAAGCGGUAACUAAAGAGAAAGGGACGGCUAACUACGUGCCAGCAGCCGCGGUAAUAC
This 407-nucleotide ribosomal RNA is filed under the name uncultured bacterium. RNAcentral's name for it is "partial 16S ribosomal RNA". It matches the Rfam family "Bacterial small subunit ribosomal RNA", at positions 28 to 526 of the family's 1533-position model. The record is from RNAcentral.